UACGGAGGGUGCAAGCGUUAUCCGGAAUCACUGGGUUUAAAGGGUGCGUAGGCGGCUGAAUAAGUCAGUGGUGAAAGUUCUGGGCUUAACCGAGGAAUUGCCAUUGAUACUGUUUAGCUUGAAUGAGGUUAAGGCUGGCGGAAUGUGACAUGUAGCGGUGAAAUGCGUAGAUAUGUCAUAGAACACCAAUUGCGAAGGCAGCUGGCUAGGCCUUUAUUGACGCUGAGGCACGAAAGCGUGGGGAGCGAACAGG
RNAcentral lists this ribosomal RNA (253 nucleotides) under uncultured bacterium. RNAcentral describes it as "partial 16S ribosomal RNA". It matches the Rfam family "Bacterial small subunit ribosomal RNA", at positions 524 to 776 of the family's 1533-position model. The record is from RNAcentral.